This 1390-nucleotide long non-coding RNA is filed under the name Nicotiana benthamiana. RNAcentral's name for it is "long non-coding RNA (NBEN_LNC032445)". Lineage: Eukaryota; Viridiplantae; Streptophyta; Magnoliopsida; Solanales; Solanaceae. The record is from RNAcentral.
GUGUCACCCCUAAUGACAAGCCUAACCUUGUAUCUUUCAACACUACCAUCAGCCUUAUAUUUAAAUUUAUAAACCCAUUUGCAGCCUAUGGGCUUCUUACCAGGAGGAAGUGGAACAAUAUCCCAAGUAUGGUUGGCAUCCAAAGCCUCAAACUCCUUGCUCAUGGCAUCCUGCCAUGCUGGGACUGAUGUAGCUUGAGAAUAAUAGAGGGGUUCAGAUUCCAAAGGAGAGAAGAGGAGGAAGAGCCAGAAAAAGAAGGUAAGAUUGGCAUCCAAAGCCUCAAACUCUUUGCUCAUGGCAUCCUGCCAUGCUGGGACUGAUGCAGCUUGAGAAUAAUGGAGAGGUUCAGAUUCCAAAGGAGAAGAAGAGGAGGAAGAGCCAGAAAAGGAAGGUAAGUGACAGACAUAGUCAUUGAGAUAAGAGGGAAGAUUGUGUUGCCUGCCAGAUCUUUUGUGGCCAGUAGGGCAGCAGGGGAAGAAAUGGCAGGAGGAGAAGUAUCAGGAUUGAAAAGAUUACUGGAGGCAGAAUGGUUAAGAUCAGAAAGUAGGGAGGGAGAAAAGGAAGAGGGAACAGGACUGGAAGCAGAAGGAAAAGGAACAGGAGGAGAAGGGCAAAGAGGAACAGACAGAUCAAUCUCAGAAUAGGGAUGCUCAAGGGAAGGGACGGAAGGAGAAGGAAAAACAGAAGUACCAAAGGUAACAACAGAAGCAGAGUCAAAAGGAAAACAAGUUUCAUGAAAAAUAACAUCCCUGGACACAAAACACUUCUUAGUAAUUAGGUCAUAUAGCCUGUAACCCUUAUUGGCAAAGGGAUAUCCCAGAAAAACGCAAGAAAUAGCUCUAGGUUUCAGCUUAUCUCUCUGUGGGAUUGGUACAGUGGCAUAGGCAAGACAGCCAAAUGCCCUUAAAUAAGUAGGGGCCUUCCCAUACAAUAUUUCAUAAGGGGAUUAGUUGUGAAGGAUUCUGGAUGGAAUCCUAUUAAGCAAGUAGGUAGCAGUCAAUAAACAAUCCCCCCAAAGAUGGAUAGGUAAUUUGGAUUGAAAAAGUAAAGCUCUACAGGCUUCAAGGAGGGUCCUAUGUUUUCUUUCAACAACACCAUUUUGUUGAUAUGUAUAGGCAAUUUGGAUUGAAAAAGUAAAGCUCUACGGGCUUCAAGGAGGGUCUUAUGUUUUCUUUCUACAACACCAUUUUAUUGAGGAAUGUGGGGACAUGUAGUUUGAUGAAUAAUGCCAUGUUGGUUGAAGAAAGAAAUACCAGCAAGACUAGACCCCAAUUCCAAAGCAUUAUCACUCCUGAUAAUUUGUACAGUAGCACUAAAUUCAGUCUUAACCAUACACAAAAAGGACUUAAAAAGGCUGAAAGCAUUUCUUUUAGACCCCAGCAAAUGUGUC